UCCGAGUUGACCCCGGCAGUCUCCUACGAGUCCCCGGCAUUACCCGCUGGCAACAUAGGACAAGGGUUGCGCUCGUUGCGGGACUUAACCCAACAUCUCACGACACGAGCUGACGACGGCCAUGCAGCACCUGUGUUCUGGUUCUCUUUCGAGCACUUUCACAUCUCUGCAAAAUUCCAGACAUGUCAAGGGUAGGUAAGGUUUUUCGCGUUGCGUCGAAUUAAACCACAUCAUCCACCGCUUGUGCGGGCCCCCGUCAAUUCCUUUGAGUUUUAAUCUUGCGACCGUACUCCCCAGGCGGUCGACUUCACGCGUUAGCUGCGUUACUGAAGAAUCAAGUUCCCCAACAACUAGUCGACAUCGUUUAGGGCGUGGACUAC
This 380-nucleotide unclassified non-coding RNA is filed under the name uncultured Gammaproteobacteria bacterium. Its description in RNAcentral is "contains 16S-23S intergenic spacer region". The record is from RNAcentral. Lineage: Bacteria; Pseudomonadati; Pseudomonadota; Gammaproteobacteria.